RNAcentral lists this ribosomal RNA (525 nucleotides) under Nakaseomyces glabratus. RNAcentral describes it as "eukaryotic LSU rRNA". It matches the Rfam family "Eukaryotic large subunit ribosomal RNA", at positions 136 to 666 of the family's 3401-position model. The record is from RNAcentral. Lineage: Eukaryota; Fungi; Ascomycota; Saccharomycetes; Saccharomycetales; Saccharomycetaceae.
GCCCGAGUUGUAAUUUGGAGAGUACCACUUUGGGACUGUACUUUGCCUAUGUUCCUUGGAACAGGACGUCAUGGAGGGUGAGAAUCCCGUGUGGCGAGGGUGUCAGUUCUUUGUAAAGGGUGCUCGAAGAGUCGAGUUGUUUGGGAAUGCAGCUCUAAGUGGGUGGUAAAUUCCAUCUAAAGCUAAAUACAGGCGAGAGACCGAUAGCGAACAAGUACAGUGAUGGAAAGAUGAAAAGAACUUUGAAAAGAGAGUGAAAAAGUACGUGAAAUUGUUGAAAGGGAAGGGCAUUUGAUCAGACAUGGUGUUUUGCGCCCCUUGCCUCUCGUGGGCUUGGGACUCUCGCAGCUCACUGGGCCAGCAUCGGUUUUGGCGGCCGGAAAAAACCUAGGGAAUGUGGCUCUGCGCCUCGGUGUAGAGUGUUAUAGCCCUGGGGAAUACGGCCAGCCGGGACCGAGGACUGCGAUACUUGUUAUCUAGGAUGCUGGCAUAAUGGUUAUAUGCCGCCCGUCUUGAAACACGGAC